CACUCCUACGGGAGGCAGCAGUGGGGAAUAUUGGACAAUGGGCGCAAGCCUGAUCCAGCCAUGCCGCGUGAGUGAUGAAGGCCCUAGGGUUGUAAAGCUCUUUCACCGGUGAAGAUAAUGACGGUAACCGGAGAAGAAGCCCCGGCUAACUUCGUGCCAGCAGCCGCGGUAAUACGAAGGGGGCUAGCGUUGUUCGGAUUUACUGGGCGUAAAGCGCACGUAGGCGGACUAUUAAGUCAGGGGUGAAAUCCCGGGGCUCAACCCCGGAACUGCCUUUGAUACUGGUAGUCUUAAGUUCGAGAGAGGUGAGUGGAAUUCCGAGUGUAGAGGUGAAAUUCGUAGAUAUUCGGAGGAACACCAGUGGCGAAGGCGGCUCACUGGCUCGAUACUGACGCUGAGGUGUGAAAGCGUGGGGAGCAAACAGGAUUAGAAACCCGAGUAGUCCCAU
Molecule: ribosomal RNA, 448 nt
Filed under: uncultured organism
Description: partial 16S ribosomal RNA
Rfam family: Bacterial small subunit ribosomal RNA
Source: RNAcentral